This 72-nucleotide transfer RNA is filed under the name Bos taurus (domestic cattle). It matches the Rfam family "tRNA". From Rfam's summary of the family: Transfer RNA (tRNA) molecules are approximately 80 nucleotides in length. Their secondary structure includes four short double-helical elements and three loops (D, anti-codon, and T loops). Lineage: Eukaryota; Metazoa; Chordata; Mammalia; Artiodactyla; Bovidae. RNAcentral also lists the same sequence under 1 other name. The record is from Rfam by way of RNAcentral.
UCCCUUAUAGCUCAGUUGGUAAAGAAUCUGCCUGCAGUGCAGGAGACCUGGGUUCAAUUCCUAGGUAGGGAA